AAUAGAUACCCGGGUAGUCCACGCCGUAAACGAUGAGUGCUAAGUGUUAGAGGGUUUCCGCCCGUUUAGUGCUGCAGCUAACGCAUUAAGCACUCCGCCUGGGGAGUACGGCCGCAAGGCUGAAACUCAAAGGAAUUGACGGGGGCCCGCACAAGCGGUGGAGCAUGGGGUUUAAUUCGAAGCAACGCGAAGAACCUUACCAGGUCUUGACAUCCUCUGCCAACCCUAGAGAUAGGGCGUUCCCCUUCAGGGGACAGAGUGACAGGUGGUGCAUGGUUGUCGUCAGCUCGUGUCGUGAGAUGUUGGGUUAAGUCCCGCAACGAGCGCAACCCUUGAUCUUAGUUGCCAGCAUUCAGUUGGGCACUCUAAGGUGACUGCCGGUGACAAACCGGAGGAAGGUGGGGAUGACGUCAAAUCAUCAUGCCCCUUAUGACCUGGGCUACACACGUGCUACAAUGGAUGGUACAAAGAGCUGCGAACCCGGCGAGGGUAAGCGAAUCUCAUAAAGCCAUUCUCAGUUCGGAUUGAGG
Molecule: ribosomal RNA, 530 nt
Filed under: uncultured bacterium
Lineage: Bacteria
Description: bacterial SSU rRNA
Rfam family: Bacterial small subunit ribosomal RNA
Source: RNAcentral